AAGUUGACUUACCUUCAUAAAAUAGCGUUAACAUGAAUAUAUCAUUGGUAUUCAUCUUCAUUUUGAUUUCAACGUUGUCGUUAAUGACUCCAGAAGCGGAAGGUCGCUCCACUAACUGUACCCGAAACAGGCUGAAUACCGAUAGUUUUAAGUGCGUCAGCAAAGAUCUGCUUGACAAGAUGGACAGACUUAAUUCACUGAUAAACAGAACAAUACAAUGCAAGGAUGACAUCAUUUCGGCGUAAAGAAAUUAACGGAAUCGACCCCAAACAACUCUUGUUCAUAAUAAGGAUCAUCACUUUGUCGUACAUAUGUAACAACACUGCCUACUAUUCUUUUGCUCUAUCCUGAUAAAUGAAACCAUGACAGUUUAUAUGUCCGCACACAUGUAUUCAACUGAAAUGAAAGUUUGAACCUUGUAACAUGUUUUGCAUAUGUGGGUUACCAUAUACAAUAGCCUGAAUGAGGCAGUAGUUGUAUCAACACGGUUGCAUUUCACAGCUAACUUAAAUGCAUGCAGGAUUUUACCAGUAUUACGUUACAAUGGCCUUGCAGUAUCCGACUUUGAUACAACAUUACACGUGACAUGAACUUGUUUUUGAUCUCAGCUGAUGGUGUUCGUCAGUACUUUACUUAUAACAUCCGAUCUUCUAGUUCUCUUUAUUAUGUUAGUUGAUUAUGCAUUUGUACUUCAGUUUGCGUAAACCUAAGA
This 712-nucleotide long non-coding RNA is filed under the name Mizuhopecten yessoensis (Yesso scallop). RNAcentral describes it as "uncharacterized LOC110460685, transcript variant X1". The record is from RNAcentral. Lineage: Eukaryota; Metazoa; Mollusca; Bivalvia; Pectinida; Pectinidae.